This 460-nucleotide ribosomal RNA is filed under the name uncultured bacterium. RNAcentral describes it as "partial 16S ribosomal RNA". It matches the Rfam family "Bacterial small subunit ribosomal RNA", at positions 338 to 795 of the family's 1533-position model. The record is from RNAcentral.
CCUACGGGGUGCAGCAGUGAGGAAUAUUGGUCAAUGGCCGGAAGGCUGAACCAGCCAAGCCGCGUGAGGGAGGAAGGCGCAGAGCGUCGCAGACCUCUUUUGCCGGGGGACAAAAGGCCGGACUCGUCCGGUCCUGAGGGUACCCGGAGAAAAAGCAUCGGCGAACUCCGUGCCAGCAGCCGCGGUAAUAAGGAGGAUGCGAGCGUUAUCCGGAUUCAUGGGGUUUAAAGGGUGCGCAGGCGGCAGCGCAAGUCAGGAGUGAAAGCCCGGGGCCCAACCCCGGGACUGCUCUGGGAACUGCGCGGCUGGAGUGCAGGAGGGGCAGGCGGAAUUCCUGGUGUAGCGGUGAAAGGCGUAGAUAUCAGGAGGAACACCGGUGGCGAAGGCGGCCUGCUGGACUGCGACUGACGUUGAGGCCCGAAAGCGUGGGGAGCAAACAGGAUUAGAUACCCGUGUAGUC